CCGAGUUAGGCACUCCAACCCUGUGCACCUACCUCCAACCGUUGUGGGACACACCCUUGCCUUAGCGGCGGGGCGACCCUGCCGUUCGACGCGAGCCCAACCCAACUGUAGUGUCUUGCCAACACUGCAUCUUUGCGUCGGAUUUUAUAAAUGAAAUCA
Molecule: unclassified non-coding RNA, 159 nt
Filed under: soil metagenome
Description: partial internal transcribed spacer 1
Source: RNAcentral